CGCGCGCCUCGCUCGCCGCGCAACCACUUCGCUCUAACGGCCCGCCGAACGUGCACGCGCGUACACGCACCGACCGACGUAAACGGCAACCGUUCGACCAGCGUGGAAAAACUGGCCGCUUCCAUUCCGCACGCACUCCCGCGUUUCAUUUUGCGGAGCAGCACUCGCCACCUCCGUUUUUUCGCCGGCCCCAAAGCGAGAUUCGACAAUGCGCGAAGGGAGAACGAGUGAGAAGCAAGAACACGGAAGAGAAAGAGAGAGAGGAGGAAAUAGACAUGAAAUGCGCCUCUUUCAGUUCCUCAUCCCACAUUUAUCUCCGUUCAUGUCCAUUAUCCACUCGGAUUACACACCGGAGGAUUCCGCUUUCGUACGCACGUAAACGGCUUUAACAUCGGGAGAUUGUUUUUUGUCCCGUACGCCCGUCAGCCAGUUCCACGAAUAUGAUGCAUUCCCCUAUCUUCAUUGUUGACACUCAGAUAUUUACUUUUCUUAUAGGUUAUACGGAAUGAGCAAAAAGUGUCCGACUAAAAUACAAAAUGUCUCGAAAACAAGACGGUUGAGAAAAAGAUGUCAUACGGAAAAAGAUGUUAUACGCAACAUUUCUGAAGGAGAGGAGGGAAGGGCAAACGAUGCGCAGCUGUCACACGGAGAAGAAGAAGAAGAAGAAGAAGAAGAAAAUCGCAACGCUAUCGUGCAAUCGCUCUUUAAAUUUCGCCAGGCUUCUCAAAGAAGAUCGAUUCCGCCGAUUGCGCCAGCAAAUAAAACGUAAUGUACGUGGAUAGAAAUUAUUUUAAUACCUCUGAGGAUCCGUUUGCGAUUUCUGCCUGCGAUUAUUCAAAGUCGAGGCGGUUUGAAGUCCCAUUGGACG
This 868-nucleotide long non-coding RNA is filed under the name Monomorium pharaonis (pharaoh ant). RNAcentral describes it as "uncharacterized LOC118646433, transcript variant X1". The record is from RNAcentral. Lineage: Eukaryota; Metazoa; Arthropoda; Insecta; Hymenoptera; Formicidae.